Long non-coding RNA from Cotesia glomerata, 193 nucleotides. RefSeq lists it as uncharacterized. Lineage: Eukaryota; Metazoa; Arthropoda; Insecta; Hymenoptera; Braconidae. The transcript has 3 exons. The record is from RefSeq and is a predicted model, not a curated record.
UUUUAAUACAGUACACCUGCUUUCAUAAUGCACGGAGAAAAAAGUAUUGCUAUUAUAGCGAUCCAGUGGAUCGUGAACGAAGUAUCGUGUUUAGCUCAAAACAGUAUUGUAAUAUUCACCAUACGAAUACAGUUAUGCUCGAAACAGUGAAUACUGAAUACCACGCUCAACUGUAUAGUGAAUAUCUCAAAAC